This 443-nucleotide ribosomal RNA is filed under the name uncultured bacterium. Its description in RNAcentral is "bacterial SSU rRNA". It matches the Rfam family "Bacterial small subunit ribosomal RNA", at positions 338 to 795 of the family's 1533-position model. The record is from RNAcentral.
CCUACGGGGGGCAGCAGUGGGGAAUAUUGCACAAUGGGGGAAACCCUGAUGCAGCGACGCCGCGUGAAGGAAGAAGGUUUUCGGAUCGUAAACUUCUAUCAGCAGGGAAGAAGGAAGUGACAGUACCUGACUAAGAAGCCCCGGCUAACUACGUGCCAGCAGCCGCGGUAAUACGUAGGGGGCAAGCGUUAUCCGGAAUCACUGGGUGUAAAGGGUGCGUAGGCGGUAGGGCAAGUCAGAUGUGAAAGCCCGGGGCUCAACCCCGGGAUUGCAGUUGAAACUGUCUUGCUAGAGUGCAGGAGAGGAAAGCGUAGUUCGAAGUGUAGCGGUGUAAUGCGUAGAUAUUAAUAAGAACAGCAGUGGCGAAGGCGGCUUUCAGGACUGUAACUGACGCUGAGGCUCGAAAGCGUGGGGAGCAAACAGGAUUAGAUACCCCUGUAGUC